RNAcentral lists this unclassified non-coding RNA (577 nucleotides) under Hevea brasiliensis (rubber tree). Lineage: Eukaryota; Viridiplantae; Streptophyta; Magnoliopsida; Malpighiales; Euphorbiaceae. The record is from RNAcentral.
AGAGAAAAAUUAGGAAUAUCAGAGGGUGUAUGCUAUGGAAUAUUUUAAGGAAUUGUUUCUAAAAGCAUCUUAGUAGCACUGAUUUGAUAAAAUCAUGUGCACCAAAUAGGUUAGAGGAAACUUUUGGCACAGCAGCUUUAACUUUUGAAGUUUAACUUAAUAUUAUUUGAAGAAAAUCAAUGCUUGAAAUAUAUGAGAACCCAGAAUAAAUUGAUAACAGUGCUGGAAACUGACAGAACUGACUCCAGGACAACUUUUUGCAAACCUCAUUCUUAAGGGAUGAAUACAAUGGCCCACUUGGCCUACUACCUAAGCCCUUAUGAGGAAGAAGAAAUAAAAAUGUUCCAUAGCAUCUGUGAAGUAGCCAAAUCUUUCCUUGCUUUGUUGAACACUCGCAAGCAUCCCAAACAAAUCAACUACCAGCAUAAUCCGUGAAAGUCAAGUACUUUUGGAUUUAUUGAUUUGUAUUCCAGUUUUUAUUUAUUGGAUUUGUAUUCCAGAUUGUUACUGCUUUUCUAUACAUCUGAAAGUCUUAUACUCCCCAUUUUUGUUGCAGGGCAUCUUUUGGAAAUUUGAA